UACGUAGGUGGCAAGCGUUAUCCGGAAUUAUUGGGCGUAAAGAGCGCGCAGGUGGUUGAUUAAGUCUGAUGUGAAAGCCCACGGCUUAACCGUGGAGGGUCAUUGGAAACUGGUCGACUUGAGUGCAGAAGAGGGAAGUGGAAUUCCAUGUGUAGCGGUGAAAUGCGUAGAGAUAUGGAGGAACACCAGUGGCGAAGGCGGCUUCCUGGUCUGUAACUGACACUGAGGCGCGAAAGCGUGGGGAGCAAGCAGGAUUAGA
RNAcentral lists this ribosomal RNA (259 nucleotides) under uncultured prokaryote. RNAcentral describes it as "partial 16S ribosomal RNA". It matches the Rfam family "Bacterial small subunit ribosomal RNA", at positions 524 to 782 of the family's 1533-position model. The record is from RNAcentral.